AACGAACGCUGGCGGCAGGCCUAACACAUGCAAGUCGAACGCCGUAGCAAUACGGAGUGGCAGACGGGUGAGUAACACGUGGGAACAUACCCUUCGGUUCGGAAUAACUCAGGGAAACUUGAGCUAAUACCGGAUACGUCCGCGAGGAGAAAGAUUCAUCGCCGGAGGAUUGGCCCGCGUCUGAUUAGCUUGUUGGUGAGGUAACGGCUCACCAAGGCGACGAUCAGUAGCGGUCUGAGAGGAUGAUCAGCCACAUUGGGACUGAGACACGGCCCAAACUACCUACGGGAGGCAGCAGUGGGGAAUAUUGGACAAUGGGCGGCAAGCCUGAUCCAGCCAUGCCGCGUGAGUGAUGAAGGCCCUAGGGUU
RNAcentral lists this ribosomal RNA (369 nucleotides) under uncultured bacterium. RNAcentral's name for it is "bacterial SSU rRNA". It matches the Rfam family "Bacterial small subunit ribosomal RNA", at positions 29 to 424 of the family's 1533-position model. The record is from RNAcentral.